GUUAACAAAAACAUGUCUUUUUGAUUAUAAUUUAAAGUCUAACCUGCCCAAUGAAAAUUUAUUAAAUGGCCGCGGUAUACUGACUGUGCAAAGGUAGCAUAAUCAUUAGUUUUUUAAUUAAAAGCUGGAAUGAAAGGUUGAAUGAAAAAAUAACUGUCUCUAUUUAAAUUUAUUAGAAUUUUAUUUUUAAGUUAAAAAGCUUAAAUGUAUAUAAAAGACGAGAAGACCCUAUAGAGUUUGAUAUUUUUUUUUAUUAAGAUAUUUAGAAUUUUAUUUUUUAGUUAAAAAAAAGUAUUUAAUUGGGGUGAUUAAAAAAUUUAUUAAACUUUUUUUUUAUUUUUACAUUAAUUUAUGAUUUUUUGAUCCUUUUUUAAAGAUUAUAAGAUUAAAUUACCUUAGGGAUAACAGCGUAAUUUUUUUUAAGAGUUCUAAUCGAAAAAAAAGAUUGCGACCUCGAUGUUGGAUUAA
This 468-nucleotide ribosomal RNA is filed under the name Conotrachelus sp. SPN-037. Its description in RNAcentral is "partial 16S ribosomal RNA". Lineage: Eukaryota; Metazoa; Arthropoda; Insecta; Coleoptera; Curculionidae. The record is from RNAcentral.